RNAcentral lists this ribosomal RNA (555 nucleotides) under Bifidobacterium pseudocatenulatum. RNAcentral describes it as "bacterial SSU rRNA". It matches the Rfam family "Bacterial small subunit ribosomal RNA", at positions 145 to 711 of the family's 1533-position model. The record is from RNAcentral. Lineage: Bacteria; Bacillati; Actinomycetota; Actinomycetes; Bifidobacteriales; Bifidobacteriaceae.
UCUCCCUGGAAACGGGUGGUAAUGCCGGAUGCUCCGACUCCUCGCAUGGGGUGUCGGGAAAGAUUUCAUCGGUAUGGGAUGGGGUCGCGUCCUAUCAGGUAGUCGGCGGGGUAACGGCCCACCGAGCCUACGACGGGUAGCCGGCCUGAGAGGGCGACCGGCCACAUUGGGACUGAGAUACGGCCCAGACUCCUACGGGAGGCAGCAGUGGGGAAUAUUGCACAAUGGGCGCAAGCCUGAUGCAGCGACGCCGCGUGCGGGAUGACGGCCUUCGGGUUGUAAACCGCUUUUGAUCGGGAGCAAGCCUUCGGGUGAGUGUACCUUUCGAAUAAGCACCGGCUAACUACGUGCCAGCAGCCGCGGUAAUACGUAGGGUGCAAGCGUUAUCCGGAAUUAUUGGGCGUAAAGGGCUCGUAGGCGGUUCGUCGCGUCCGGUGUGAAAGUCCAUCGCUUAACGGUGGAUCUGCGCCGGGUACGGGCGGGCUGGAGUGCGGUAGGGGAGACUGGAAUUCCCGGUGUAACGGUGGAAUGUGUAGAUAUCGGGAAAGAACACCA